Cygnus olor (mute swan) is the source of this 567-nucleotide long non-coding RNA. RefSeq lists it as uncharacterized. The record is from RefSeq and is a predicted model, not a curated record. The transcript has 3 exons. NCBI's taxonomy places the organism in Eukaryota, Metazoa, Chordata, Aves, Anseriformes, Anatidae.
AAAUUCCCUAGCCUAAGUGCAAGCUGGCCCUGUGCACUCUUGCUUUGACUCACUCCUGAUCUGAAUCAGCUCCCACUCGAGCUCCUGCACUGCCUGAAGAAUAUUUGUCCGUCUGGCCUGACAGGCUGCCGCCACGUAUCGAGCAUGCUCCAGGGACUUUUCUCAGCAUUAGAAAGGACAAAUUCAGAGAGCAGCCUGAAAGAACUACUCAGACAGCUUUGAGGGAACGUCUGGCUGAUAUGUUCAUAGGGAGCAGAAGAGUUGGUCCCACAGUCAUUUGGGCCUUGUGUAGACCUGUGCCUUUAAAACAAACAAACUUCAAAAGGAAAAUCAAUACCUGAGGUGGAAGAGUUCAUACAUUUCAGAGCCUCAGGUGAGCAAGAUGAUUUGUAUUUUAACACAUGUGAGUUUGUUGAGGAGAAUGCAGCUAUGGACCAGGACAGGCUCCAGAGGGGUUUGACACCCCUGCUGAUGUUGAAGGGAGAGGUGCCCUCAUCAGCUUAGUACAGCCCAGAGAAUCUGGGAGAGAAGCAGCUGCCUGGGCUGGUAUACAGUAGUAAAAAUGGA